Molecule: long non-coding RNA, 1280 nt
Filed under: Anas platyrhynchos platyrhynchos (common mallard)
Lineage: Eukaryota; Metazoa; Chordata; Aves; Anseriformes; Anatidae
Description: lncRNA (ENSAPLG00000022496.1)
Source: RNAcentral
GAUCUCCAGAGGUUCCUUCUAACUUCACUAACUUCAACCAUUCUGUGAUUCCAUGUAGUAUCUCGUUAUUUAAAAUGUUGACAGGCCCAAGAAAGGUUAAUUAGUUGGAAAGUCAAUGCGUUUCAAAUUAUCAGAUAAACAUGUCUAGUUUUAGCUAGUGGGCAAGAAAGGGAUUUUCUUAACAGCUGUGGUGAUUUUCAUAGUUAGGUUUAUUAACGUUAUCAUGAAUUCUAGGGCUGUAGAAGAGUAGUCUGGUGCUCAAAGAAAGAAAAUCUGUCUGAACAGUUUGUUAUAUCUAUUCUAGUAACUGUCAAAACACAUGAGGCUGUUCAGACAGUUCUCUGAAUGAAUGGUACGAUAGAAUGAAUGAGAUCUAAGACUCCUGUGGAUAAAUAGGUAUGAUUUCCUGGUAUCUCAGACCAAUGUGACAUAGCUUUCCAGUAAAGGAAGAUUAUGUAAACUACAAAUUUCAAGAUACUAAAAAUCUUUAAUCAUGCCUUUUCUCUUAUUCUUCUUCUACUGCAGGCAUAUAAAAUUCUUUUGGUGUUUCCUCAUAUUAUAAUAACAUUCAUCUUCUAAUUGAUAGACAUAACAAUCACUACUCAUUCUUGCCAUACUUCUAAAUGUGUGCACACUGUGCACAAUAAAUUUCCUUCAACUGGUAAUGCUCCCCAUUUGCAUCCUGUUAUGAAUAAUGGGGUACAACAAGUUGAUCAGAGAAAAAAAAACACUAAGAAGAGUGAUUUAUGCUGACGCUGCACACAGUAAUUUUUCUUCUCUAUAUUUUUACCCAAAUAUAAACCAGUCACAGUAUUUGUAUGGGUAUUGUAAUUAUGCAAAUAACAUUAGCAUUUUUCUUGACAGGAAACAUUUUUUUAUAAUGAAAUCUGUAAUUUGAUUGUGCUUAGUAGAAUCUGCCUUGCUACACCUCAUAGGAAUACAGAGAACUUAAUAUAGUAGCUAUGUACAUGUAUAAAUGGUCUAGUCAAAAACUUGUACAAUGCAUCAAAAUGAAUCCAUAUAGCUUGAAACGUCACUAACUAAACUGGCUUUGCAGUCAUUACUGCGGUCUCCCUUGAAGAACAAAUGUUUUCUCACAGAUUCUGAAGAAAAUUGUGUAUAUAUGUGAAUAUGUAUAUGAAUAAUGCCUGGUAAGAAACAUGAAUUUUGAGAUGUACUAGGAAAGUGUUUGCUCAUGCCAAUUCACUGGUGAAUACUCUAAUAAUUUUGAACUACUUAAGUUUAAUAAAAGCUUUAGGAAUUGGGUUUGGGUUGUUUGU